UACACUGGACAAAAUAUAAACACAACACUUUUGUUUUUGCCCCCAUUUUUCAAGAUCUAAGACUUUUUCUUCGUACAUUUCUCUCAAAUAUUGUUCACAAAUCUGUCUAAAUCUGUGUUAGUGAGCACUUCUACUUUGCCGAGAUAAUCCAUGAACAAUAUUUGAGAGAAAUAGGCCUUUUGCGUGCAUAGAAAAAGAUCUUUAGAUCUUUGAGUUCAGCUCAUGAAAAAUGGGGGCAAAAACAAAAGUGUUGCAUUUAUAAUUUUGUUCAGUGUA
Pelobates cultripes (western spadefoot toad) is the source of this 276-nucleotide non-coding RNA. Lineage: Eukaryota; Metazoa; Chordata; Amphibia; Anura; Pelobatidae. The record is from the annotation of a GenBank genome assembly.